This is a long non-coding RNA of Labrus mixtus (cuckoo wrasse), 305 nucleotides long. RefSeq lists it as uncharacterized. Lineage: Eukaryota; Metazoa; Chordata; Actinopteri; Labriformes; Labridae. The transcript has 2 exons. The record is from RefSeq and is a predicted model, not a curated record.
CCUCGUGUAUCUCUGUGUUCUAGUGUGUUUUGUUAGACUCUUGAGUUCUGUGUGUCUUUAGUGUUUCAUGAUUUAUUUUGUAUUGUCCUCAGUGUUUCUCCCUGCCUUGAUUGCCCUGAUUGUCUUCACCUGUGUCAUUAGUCUCACCUGUGUUUGUUUACUCCCUUGUCUAUUUAGUCUCUGUGUUUCUUCCCUCCUGUGUCAGUUCAUUGUUGUUUGUAUGUCCCCUGUGUUUUUUGUUUUGAAAGUAAGUUUUUGUUGCCUUUGGCCUUUUUGUUUAAUUAAAGAUUUUUGGUUAUUCUGCA